GGGGAUGUGGCGAAACUGGUAGACGCACCAUCUUGAGGGGGGUGGCGGGAAACCGUGUGAGUUCGAAUCUCACCAUCCCCA
RNAcentral lists this transfer RNA (81 nucleotides) under Candidatus Sericytochromatia bacterium. Its description in RNAcentral is "tRNA-Leu". It matches the Rfam family "tRNA". From Rfam's summary of the family: Transfer RNA (tRNA) molecules are approximately 80 nucleotides in length. Their secondary structure includes four short double-helical elements and three loops (D, anti-codon, and T loops). Lineage: Bacteria; Bacillati; Candidatus Sericytochromatia. The record is from RNAcentral.